CCUACGGGUGGCUGCAGUGGGGAAUCUUGGACAAUGGGCGAAAGCCUGAUCCAGCAAUGCCGCGUGCAGGAUGAAGGCCUACGGGUUGUAAACUGCUUUUGUACGGAACGCAAAAGCUUCUCCUAAUACGAGAGGCACAUAACGGUACCGUAAGAAUAAGCACCGGCUAACUACGUGCCAGCAGCCGCGGUAAUACGUAGGUGGCAAGCGUUGGCCGGAAUUACUGGGUGUAAAGGGAGCGCAGGCGGGGAGCCAAGUCAGGAGUGAAAACCACGGGCUUAACUUGGGGACUGCAGUGGAAACUGGCUUUCUAGAGUGAAGGAGAGGCAGGCGGAAUUCCGAGUGUAGCGGUGAAAUGCGUAGAUAUUAGGAGGAACACCAGUGGCGAAGGCGGCUUACUGGACUGUAACUGACGCUGAGGCUCGAAAGCGUGGGGAGCAAACAGGAUUAGAUACCCGGGUAGUC
This 465-nucleotide ribosomal RNA is filed under the name Salmonella enterica subsp. enterica serovar Anatum. RNAcentral describes it as "bacterial SSU rRNA". It matches the Rfam family "Bacterial small subunit ribosomal RNA", at positions 338 to 795 of the family's 1533-position model. Lineage: Bacteria; Pseudomonadati; Pseudomonadota; Gammaproteobacteria; Enterobacterales; Enterobacteriaceae. The record is from RNAcentral.